GACAUAGGGCGCAAACGUUAUCCGGAAUUAUUGGGCGUAAAGGGUGCGUAGAUGGUUCAGUAAGUUACUGGUGGAAAAUCGAGGCCCAACCUCGUGGAAGUUAGUAAUACUGUUGAACUUGAGUGCAGGAGAGGUUAACGGAACUUCAUGUGGAGAGGUAAAAUGCGUAGAUAUAUGAAAGAACAUCAAUAUGGCGAAGGCAGUUAACUAUACUGAUACUGACAUUGAGGCAUGAAAGCGUGGGGAGCAAAACGG
RNAcentral lists this ribosomal RNA (255 nucleotides) under uncultured bacterium. Its description in RNAcentral is "partial 16S ribosomal RNA". It matches the Rfam family "Bacterial small subunit ribosomal RNA", at positions 524 to 776 of the family's 1533-position model. The record is from RNAcentral.